Molecule: unclassified non-coding RNA, 329 nt
Filed under: soil metagenome
Description: partial contains 5.8S ribosomal RNA, internal transcribed spacer 2, and large subunit ribosomal RNA
Rfam family: 5.8S ribosomal RNA (bases 1-120)
Source: RNAcentral
GAUGAAGAACGCAGCGAAAUGCGAUAAGUAAUGUGAAUAGCAGAAUUCAGUGAAUCAUCGAAUCUUUGAACGCACAUUGCGCCCCCUGGCAUUCCGGGGGGCAUGCCUGUUCGAGCGUCAUUACAACCCUCAAGCUCUGCUUGGUAUUGGGCUCUGCUGGGACCGGCAGGCCUUAAAAUCAGUGGCGGCGCCACUCGGCUUCAAGCGUAGUAAUUCUUCUCGCUUCGGAGACCCGGGUGCGUGCUAGCCAGCAACCCCCAACUUUCUUAGGUUGACCUCGGAUCAGGUAGGGAUACCCGCUGAACUUAAGCAUAUCAAUAAGCGGAGGA